GAAGCAACAAAUGCCCUGCUUCCAGGAAAAGCCUCUAAGCAUCAGGUAACAUCAAAUCGUACCCCAAACCGACACAGGUGGUCAGGUAGAGAAUACCAAGGCGCUUGAGAGAACUCGGGUGAAGGAACUAGGCAAAAUGGUGCCGUAACUUCGGGAGAAGGCACGCUGAUAUGUAGGUGAAGUCCCUCGCGGAUGGAGCUGAAAUCAGUCGAAGAUACCAGCUGGCUGCAACUGUUUAUUAAAAACACAGCACUGUGCAAACACGAAAGUGGACGUAUACGGUGUGACGCCUGCCCGGUGCCGGAAGGUUAAUUGAUGGGGUUAGCGCAAGCGAAGCUCUUGAUCGAAGCCCCGGUAAACGGCGGCCGUAACUAUAACGGUCCUAAGGUAGCGAAAUUCCUUGUCGGGUAAGUUCCGACCUGCACGAAUGGCGUAAUGAUGGCCAGGCUGUCUCCACCCGAGACUCAGUGAAAUUGAACUCGCUGUGAAGAUGCAGUGUACCCGCGGCAAGACGGAAAGACCCCGUGAACCUUUACUAUAGCUUGACACUGAACAUUGAGCCUUGAUGUGUAGGAUAGGUGGGAGGCUUUGAAGUGUGGACGCCAGUCUGCAUGGAGCCGACCUUGAAAUACCACCCUUUAAUGUUUGAUGUUCUAACGUUGACCCGUAAUCCGGGUUGCGGACAGUGUCUGGUGGGUAGUUUGACUGGGGCGGUCUCCUCCUAAAGAGUAACGGAGGAGCACGAAGGUUGGCUAAUCCUGGUCGGACAUCAGGAGGUUAGUGCAAUGGCAUAAGCCAGCUUGACUGCGAGCGUGACGGCGCGAGCAGGUGCGAAAGCAGGUCAUAGUGAUCCGGUGGUUCUGAAUGGAAGGGCCAUCGCUCAACGGAUAAAAGGUACUCCGGGGAUAACAGGCUGAUACCGCCCAAGAGUUCAUAUCGACGGCGGUGUUUGGCACCUCGAUGUCGGCUCAUCACAUCCUGGGGCUGAAGUAGGUCCCAAGGGUAUGGCUGUUCGCCAUUUAAAGUGGUACGCGAGCUGGGUUUAGAACGUCGUGAGACAGUUCGGUCCCUAUCUGCCGUGGGCGCUGGAGAACUGAGGGGGGCUGCUCCUAGUACGAGAGGACCGGAGUGGACGCAUCACUGGUGUUCGGGUUGUCAUGCCAAUGGCACUGCCCGGUAGCUAAAUGCGGAAGAGAUAAGUGCUGAAAGCAUCUAAGCACGAAACUUGCCCCGAGAUGAGUUCUCCCUGACUCCUUGAGAGUCCUGAAGGAACGUUGAAGACGACGACGUUGAUAGGCCGGGUGUGUAAGCGCAGCGAUGCGUUGAGCUAACCGGUACUAAUGAACCGUGAGG
This 1353-nucleotide ribosomal RNA is filed under the name Escherichia coli. RNAcentral's name for it is "partial 23S ribosomal RNA". It matches the Rfam family "Bacterial large subunit ribosomal RNA", at positions 1587 to 2916 of the family's 2925-position model. The record is from RNAcentral. Lineage: Bacteria; Pseudomonadati; Pseudomonadota; Gammaproteobacteria; Enterobacterales; Enterobacteriaceae.